CAGUCCCGCGGUAAUACGAAGGGGGCUAGCGUUGCUCGGAAUGACUGGGCGUAAAGCGCACGUAGGCGGAUCGAUCAGUCAGGGGUGAAAUCCCAGAGCUCAACUCUGGAACUGCCUUUGAUACUGUCGAUCUGGAGUAUGGAAGAGGUGAGUGGAAUUCCGAGUGUAGAGGUGAAAUUCGUAGAUAUUCGGAGGAACACCAGUGGCGAAGGCGGCUCACUGGUCCAUUACUGACGCUGAGGUGCGAAAGCGUGGGGAGCAAACAGGAUUAGAUACCCCAGUAGUCCCUGUCUCUUAUACA
This 301-nucleotide ribosomal RNA is filed under the name uncultured bacterium. Its description in RNAcentral is "partial 16S ribosomal RNA". It matches the Rfam family "Bacterial small subunit ribosomal RNA", at positions 512 to 808 of the family's 1533-position model. The record is from RNAcentral.